This 1514-nucleotide ribosomal RNA is filed under the name Salmonella enterica subsp. enterica serovar Typhimurium. RNAcentral's name for it is "partial 23S ribosomal RNA". It matches the Rfam family "Bacterial large subunit ribosomal RNA", at positions 1 to 1894 of the family's 2925-position model. Lineage: Bacteria; Pseudomonadati; Pseudomonadota; Gammaproteobacteria; Enterobacterales; Enterobacteriaceae. The record is from RNAcentral.
CCACCACUAAGCCAGUGGUGAACUCCACAUCCGCAUCCUUUGCUGAGGAUACGGUUAACGGAGCGAAAGCGACGUUCAACCGCAAAACAAGCAGAGGGGGCUUAGUGGUGGGGUGACUGCGUACCUUUUGUAUAAUGGGUCAGCGACUUAUAUUCUGUAGCAAGGUUAACCGAAUAGGGGAGCCGGAGGGAAACCGAGUCUUAAUUGGGCGUUAAGUUGCAGGGUAUAGACCCGAAACCCGGUGAUCUAGCCAUGGGCAGGUUGAAGGUUGGGUAACACUAACUGGAGGACCGAACCGACUAAUGUUGAAAAAUUAGCGGAUGACCUGUGGCUGGGGGUGAAAGGCCAAUCAAACCGGGAGAUAGCUGGUUCUCCCCGAAAGCUAUUUAGGUAGCGCCUCGUGAAUUCAUCUCCGGGGGUAGAGCACUGUUUCGGCUAGGGGGCCAUCCCGGCUUACCAACCCGAUGCAAACUGCGAAUACCGGAGAAUGUUAUCACGGGAGACACACGGCGGGUGCUAACGUCCGUCGUGAAGAGGGAAACAACCCAGACCGCCAGCUAAGGUCCCAAAGUCAUGGUUAAGUGGGAAACGAUGUGGGAAGGCCCAGACAGCCAGGAUGUUGGCUUAGAAGCAGCCAUCAUUUAAAGAAAGCGUAAUAGCUCACUGGUCGAGUCGGCCUGCGCGGAAGAUGUAACGGGGCUAAACCAUGCACCGAAGCUGCGGCAGCGAACGUAUCACCCAAGACAACUUUACGGAGUUGACGAUUGACGGAGCGAAGCGACGUCAAAGCGUUCAUUAAAGUCGAGUUGGCUUAGGGAUACGUUCGUUGGGUAGGGGAGCGUUCUGUAAGCCUGUGAAGGUGUGUCGUGAGGCAUGCUGGAGGUAUCAGAAGUGCGAAUGCUGACAUAAGUAACGAUAAAGCGGGUGAAAAGCCCGCUCGCCGGAAGACCAAGGGUUCCUGUCCAACGUUAAUCGGGGCAGGGUGAGUCGACCCCUAAGGCGAGGCCGAAAGGCGUAGUCGAUGGGAAACGGGUUAAUAUUCCCGUACUUGGUGUUACUGCGAAGGGGGGACGGAGAAGGCUAUGUUGGCCGGGCGACGGUUGUCCCGGUUUAAGCGUGUAGGUGUGUGUUCCAGGUAAAUCCGGUUCACUUUAACACUGAGGCGUGACGACGAGGCACUACGGUGCUGAAGCAACAAAUGCCCUGCUUCCAGGAAAAGCCUCUAAGCAUCAGGUAACAUCAAAUCGUACCCCAAACCGACACAGGUGGUCAGGUAGAGAAUACCAAGGCGCUUGAGAGAACUCGGGUGAAGGAACUAGGCAAAAUGGUGCCGUAACUUCGGGAGAAGGCACGCUGACACGUAGGUGAAGUGAUUUACUCAUGGAGCUGAAGUCAGUCGAAGAUACCAGCUGGCUGCAACUGUUUAUUAAAAACACAGCACUGUGCAAACACGAAAGUGGACGUAUACGGUGUGACGCCUGCCCGGUGCCGGAAGGUUAAUUGAUGGGGUCAGC